UUAAAUUGAAGAGUUUGAUCAUGGCUCAGAUUGAACGCUGGCGGCAGGCCUAACACAUGCAAGUCGAACGGUAACAGGAAGCAGCUUGCUGCUUCGCUGACGAGUGGCGGACGGGUGAGU
This 120-nucleotide ribosomal RNA is filed under the name Escherichia coli. Its description in RNAcentral is "partial 16S ribosomal RNA". It matches the Rfam family "Bacterial small subunit ribosomal RNA", at positions 1 to 111 of the family's 1533-position model. The record is from RNAcentral. Lineage: Bacteria; Pseudomonadati; Pseudomonadota; Gammaproteobacteria; Enterobacterales; Enterobacteriaceae. RNAcentral also lists the same sequence under 19 other names.